GCGAGUGAAGCGGCAACAGCUCAAAUUUGAAAUCUGGCUCUUUCAGAGUCCGAGUUGUAAUUUGCAGAGGGCGCUUUGGCUUUGGCAGCGGUCCAAGUUCCUUGGAACAGGACGUCACAGAGGGUGAGAAUCCCGUACGUGGUCGCUAGCUAUUGCCGUGUAAAGCCCCUUCGACGAGUCGAGUUGUUUGGGAAUGCAGCUCUAAAUGGGAGGUAAAUUUCUUCUAAAGCUAAAUAUUGGCCAGAGACCGAUAGCGCACAAGUAGAGUGAUCGAAAGAUGAAAAGCACUUUGGAAAGAGAGUCAAACAGCACGUGAAAUUGUUGAAAGGGAAGCGCUUGCAGCCAGACUUGCUUGCAGUUGCUCAUCCGGGCUUUUGCCCGGUGCACUCUUCUGUAGGCAGGCCAGCAUCAGUUUGGGCGGUGGGAUAAAGGUCUCUGUCACGUACCUUCCUUCGGGUUGGCCUUAUAGGGGAGACGCCAUACCACCAGCCUGGACUGAGGUCCGCGCAUCUGCUAGGAUGCUGGCGUAAUGGCUGUAAGCGGCCCGUCUUGAAACACGGACCAAGGAGUCUAACAUCUAUGCGAGUGUUUGGGUGUCAAGCCCGAACGCGUAAUGAAAGUGAACGGAGGUGGGAACCCGCAAGGGUGCACCAUCGACCGAUCCUGAAGUUUACGGAAGGAUUUGAGUAAGAGCAUGGCUGUUGGGACCCGAAAGAUGGUGAACUAUGCUUGAAUAGGGUGAAGCCAGAGGAAACUCUGGUGGAGGCUCGCAGCGGUUCUGACGUGCAAAUCGAUCGUCAAAUUUGGGCAU
RNAcentral lists this ribosomal RNA (811 nucleotides) under Curvularia pseudobrachyspora. RNAcentral's name for it is "partial large subunit ribosomal RNA". It matches the Rfam family "Eukaryotic large subunit ribosomal RNA", at positions 89 to 918 of the family's 3401-position model. Lineage: Eukaryota; Fungi; Ascomycota; Dothideomycetes; Pleosporales; Pleosporaceae. The record is from RNAcentral.